This 253-nucleotide ribosomal RNA is filed under the name uncultured bacterium. RNAcentral describes it as "partial 16S ribosomal RNA". It matches the Rfam family "Bacterial small subunit ribosomal RNA", at positions 524 to 776 of the family's 1533-position model. The record is from RNAcentral.
UACGUAGGUGGCAAGCGUUAUCCGGAUUUACUGGGUGUAAAGGGCGUGUAGGCGGGGAAGCAAGUCAGAUGUGAAAACCACGGGCUCAACCUGUGGCCUGCAUUUGAAACUGUUUUUCUUGAGUGCUGGAGAGGCAAUCGGAAUUCCGUGUGUAGCGGUGAAAUGCGUAGAUAUACGGAGGAACACCAGUGGCGAAGGCGGAUUGCUGGACGGUAACUGACGCUGAGGCGCGAAAGCGUGGGGAGCAAACAGG